GUUAGCGACGGACGGGUGAGUAACACGUGGGUAACCUGCCUGUAAGACUGGGAUAACUCCGGGAAACCGGGGCUAAUACCGGAUGGUUGUUUGAACCGCAUGGUUCAAACAUAAAAGGUGGCUUCGGCUACCACUUACAGAUGGACCCGCGGCGCAUUAGCUAGUUGGUGAGGUAACGGCUCACCAAGGCAACGAUGCGUAGCCGACCUGAGAGGGUGAUCGGCCACACUGGGACUGAGACACGGCCCAGACUCCUACGGGAGGCAGCAGUAGGGAAUCUUCCGCAAUGGACGAAAGUCUGACGGAGCAACGCCGCGUGAGUGAUGAAGGUUUUCGGAUCGUAAAGCUCUGUUGUUAGGGAAGAACAAGUACCGUUCGAAUAGGGCGGUACCUUGACGGUACCUAACCAGAAAGCCACGGCUAACUACGUGCCAGCAGCCGCGGUAAUACGUAGGUGGCAAGCGUUGUCCGGAAUUAUUGGGCGUAAAGGGCUCGCAGGCGGUUUCUUAAGUCUGAUGUGAAAGCCCCCGGCUCAACCGGGGAGGGUCAUUGGAAACUGGGGAACUUGAGUGCAGAAGAGGAGAGUGGAAUUCCACGUGUAGCGGUGAAAUGCGUAAAGAUGUGGAGGAACACCAGUGGCGAAGGCGACUCUCUGGUCUGUAACUGACGCUGAGGAGCGAAAGCGUGGGGAGCGAACAGGAUUANAUACCCUGGUAGUCCACGCCGUAAACGAUGAGUGCUA
RNAcentral lists this ribosomal RNA (742 nucleotides) under Bacillus sp. RZ-254. Its description in RNAcentral is "bacterial SSU rRNA". It matches the Rfam family "Bacterial small subunit ribosomal RNA", at positions 91 to 818 of the family's 1533-position model. Lineage: Bacteria; Bacillati; Bacillota; Bacilli; Caryophanales; Bacillaceae. The record is from RNAcentral.